RNAcentral lists this transfer RNA (81 nucleotides) under Actinomycetales bacterium. RNAcentral describes it as "tRNA-Leu". It matches the Rfam family "tRNA". Rfam says of the family: Transfer RNA (tRNA) molecules are approximately 80 nucleotides in length. Their secondary structure includes four short double-helical elements and three loops (D, anti-codon, and T loops). The record is from RNAcentral. Lineage: Bacteria; Bacillati; Actinomycetota; Actinomycetes; Actinomycetales.
GCGGGAGUGGCGAAAUGGCAGACGCGCUGGAUUUAGGUUCCUGUGCCUUAGGGCGUGUGGGUUCAAGUCCCACCUUCCGCA